RNAcentral lists this ribosomal RNA (253 nucleotides) under uncultured bacterium. Its description in RNAcentral is "partial 16S ribosomal RNA". It matches the Rfam family "Bacterial small subunit ribosomal RNA", at positions 524 to 776 of the family's 1533-position model. The record is from RNAcentral.
UACAGAGGGUGCGAGCGUUGUUCGGAAUUAUUGGGCGUAAAGGGCGCGUAGGCGGUGCGGUAAGUCACCUGUGAAAUCUCCUGGCUCAACUGGGAGCUUGCAGGCGAAACUGCCGUGCUGGAGUGUGGGAGAGGUGCGUGGAGUUCCUGGUGUAGCGGUGAAAUGCGUAGAUAUCAGGAGGAACACCUGUGGCGAAAGCGGCGCACUGGACCACAACUGACGCUGAGGCGCGAAAGCUAGGGGAGCAAACAGG